UACGAAGGGGGCUAGCGUUGUUCGGAAUCACUGGGCGUAAAGCGCACGUAGGCGGAUCUUUUAAGUCAGGGGUGAAAUCCCGAGGCUCAACCUCGGAACUGUCUUUGAUACUGGGGAUCUCGAGUCCGGGAGAGGUGAGUGGAACUGCGAGUGUAGAGGUGAAAUUCGUAGAUAUUCGCAAGAACACCAGUGGCGAAGGCGGCUCACUGGCCCGGAACUGACGCUGAGGUGCGAAAGCGUGGGGAGCAAACAGG
This 254-nucleotide ribosomal RNA is filed under the name uncultured bacterium. RNAcentral describes it as "partial 16S ribosomal RNA". It matches the Rfam family "Bacterial small subunit ribosomal RNA", at positions 524 to 776 of the family's 1533-position model. The record is from RNAcentral.